GCUGUGGUGUCCGAGUGGUUAAGGAGUUGGACUCGAAAUCCAAUGGGAUCUUCCCGCACAGGUUCGAAUCCUGUCCGCAGCG
This 82-nucleotide transfer RNA is filed under the name Blattella germanica (German cockroach). RNAcentral's name for it is "tRNA-Ser (CGA) (tRNA-Ser-CGA-5-1)". It matches the Rfam family "tRNA". From Rfam's summary of the family: Transfer RNA (tRNA) molecules are approximately 80 nucleotides in length. Their secondary structure includes four short double-helical elements and three loops (D, anti-codon, and T loops). The record is from RNAcentral. Lineage: Eukaryota; Metazoa; Arthropoda; Insecta; Blattodea; Blattellidae.